CCGCGAGGUGGAGCUAAUCCCAUAAAACCGAUCGUAGUCCGGAUCGCAGUCUGCAACUCGACUGCGUGAAGUCGGAAUCGCUAGUAAUCGUGAAUCAGAACGUCACGGUGAAUACGUUCCCGGGCCUUGUACACACCGCCCGUCACACCAUGGGAGUGGGUUGCACCAGAAGUAGCUAGUCUAACCUUCGGGAGGACGGUUACCACGGUGUGAUUCAUGACUGGGGUGAAGUCGUAACAAGGUAGCCGUAGGGGAACCUGCGGCUGGAUCACCUCCUUA
RNAcentral lists this ribosomal RNA (279 nucleotides) under Pseudomonas luteola. Its description in RNAcentral is "partial 16S ribosomal RNA". It matches the Rfam family "Bacterial small subunit ribosomal RNA", at positions 1255 to 1533 of the family's 1533-position model. Lineage: Bacteria; Pseudomonadati; Pseudomonadota; Gammaproteobacteria; Pseudomonadales; Pseudomonadaceae. The record is from RNAcentral.